CCUACGGGUGGCAGCAGUGGGGAAUAUUCCGCAAUGGACGAAAGUCUGACGGAGCAACGCCGCGUGAGUGAUGAAGGUUUUCGGACUGUAAAGCUCUGUUGUUUAGGACGAAAGUGCCUGUUGCGAACAGUUACAGGUAUUGACGGUACUGAACGAGGAAGCCACGGCUAACUACGUGCCAGCAGCCGCGGUAAUACGUAGGUGGCAAGCGUUGUCCGGAAUUAUUGGGCGUAAAGAGCAUGUAGGCGGGAAUCUAAGUCUGUUGUGAAAAUGCGGGGCUCAACCCCGUAUUGCGAUGGAAACUGGGUUUCUUGAGUGCAGGAGAGGAAAGGGGAAUUCCCAGUGUAGCGGUGAAAUGCGUAGAUAUUGGGAGGAACACCAGUGGCGAAGGCGCCUUUCUGGACUGUGUCUGACGCUGAGAUGCGAAAGCCAGGGUAG
Molecule: ribosomal RNA, 438 nt
Filed under: uncultured bacterium
Lineage: Bacteria
Description: bacterial SSU rRNA
Rfam family: Bacterial small subunit ribosomal RNA
Source: RNAcentral